Lentinula raphanica is the source of this 97-nucleotide non-coding RNA. The record is from the annotation of a GenBank genome assembly. NCBI's taxonomy places the organism in Eukaryota, Fungi, Basidiomycota, Agaricomycetes, Agaricales, Omphalotaceae.
AGACCGUUGGUGAAGUGGUUAUCAUGCUUGCCUUCCAUACCACUUAAAGACGCAAGGGUGAUAGCAAGCGGCUCGGGUUCGAUUCCCGAACGGUGUA